This 423-nucleotide ribosomal RNA is filed under the name uncultured bacterium. RNAcentral describes it as "bacterial SSU rRNA". It matches the Rfam family "Bacterial small subunit ribosomal RNA", at positions 355 to 776 of the family's 1533-position model. The record is from RNAcentral.
UGAGGAAUAUUGGUCAAUGGACGAGAGUCUGAACCAGCCAAGUAGCGUGCAGGAUGACAGCCCUAUGGGUUUUAAACUGCUUUUAUAAGGGAAUAAAAGUCGCCACGUGUGGUGUAUUGCAUGUACCUUAUGAAUAAGCAUCGGCUAAUUCCGUGCCAGCAGCCGCGGUAAUACGGAAGAUGCGAGCGUUAUCCGGAUUUAUUGGGUUUAAAGGGAGCGUAGGCGGAAGGGUAAGUCAGCCGUUAAAUAACGUCGCUCAACGGCGUAAUGCGGUUGAAACUGCCUUUCUUGAGUGUACACAAGGUGGAUGGAAUUCGUGGUGUAGCGGUGAAAUGCUUAGAUAUCACGAAGAACUCCGAUUGCGAAGGCAGUUCACCGGGGUACAACUGACGCUGAGGCUCGAAAGUGCGGGAAUCAAACAGG